GUGCACGUAAUGGGGAUUCGCAGCGGUUUUGUAAACCGCAGGUUGCAGGUUCAAGUCCUGUCGGUGGCU
Molecule: transfer RNA, 69 nt
Filed under: Euhalothece sp. KZN 001
Lineage: Bacteria; Bacillati; Cyanobacteriota; Cyanophyceae; Chroococcales; Halothecacae
Description: tRNA-Thr
Rfam family: tRNA
About the family: Transfer RNA (tRNA) molecules are approximately 80 nucleotides in length.
Source: RNAcentral